Molecule: long non-coding RNA, 216 nt
Filed under: Manihot esculenta (cassava)
Lineage: Eukaryota; Viridiplantae; Streptophyta; Magnoliopsida; Malpighiales; Euphorbiaceae
Description: long non-coding RNA (MESC_LNC013086)
Source: RNAcentral
UCUGCUGUCAUCUGCCCCUAUCUCAUCUGUAAUUGUUUUGACCCUUUCUAGGUACACAAACGGGUCAUCACCGGUUUCAAACUGGGGAGCACCCAACUUCAUAUAGUCGGUCAUCUUGACCUUGCUCCCACCAGAUGAGCUAGGCUUAGGUAUAUGGGUUGCUGGAACUGUGGGUUCUACUGAUGAUGGAGGAGGUGCAACAUUUUCUGAGGUAAG